Molecule: long non-coding RNA, 678 nt
Filed under: Heterocephalus glaber (naked mole-rat)
Lineage: Eukaryota; Metazoa; Chordata; Mammalia; Rodentia; Bathyergidae
Description: lncRNA (ENSHGLG00100037746.1)
Source: RNAcentral
CGCGUUCACACUCGCGCUCCUCCCCAGCCGGCUGCCCCAGGACCGCGGGCCCGAGCAGCGGCCCACACCCAGGAGCGAGGAGGCGGUUAAAGGCGGCAGGGAGGCUGACAUCUUUUAUCUCGGGGUCUAUGGGUAACCGCUCCGCAGUGUUCCCUCGGGAGAUCUUACCGAGCCCGCCGGGGGCCGUCCGCCCAGGCACUGGGGCACUUCACACUCGUGACUCAAGGUCACCACGGCAGUCGGUCCCUGACUCCCAGCCCGGCAGGAGUUCAGAGGCCAGGUGGAAAGUUGCCCUAGGGUGUUAGCAAACUGAGACACCCAGCAGAUUCCAGGCACAAACACACUGGAGACCUUCCCCAUGCCACACCUGGAGCCCAAGGCCACCUGGGAUGCAGACAGGAUGAACGGGUGGAACCACACCAGGAAAUGUUCUCUAGGAGUGCAUCAGAACUGUUAAGCUGGCGAAUAGGAACAGGUGACUUGCAAAGGCGGCAGAGUACUUUGAGAUGGCGGGGGGGCGGAGAGGAGAAGAAGAAGAAGGAGGAGGAGGAGGAGGAAAGAAGAAGAAGAGAGGAAAGAAGGAAGGAAGGGGGAGAGAGAGAGAAAGAAUUGGAAUUUUGUUUUUGCUUGGCCUCAGUGUACCCCCCAGGAACAUGUCAUUUGAAUCAACUACCUGCC